CGAAUGCUGACAUAAGUAACGAUAAAGCGGGUGAAAAGCCCGCUCGCCGGAAGACCAAGGGUUCCUGUCCAACGUUAAUCGGGGCAGGGUGAGUCGACCCCUAAGGCGAGGCCGAAAGGCGUAGUCGAUGGGAAACGGGUUAAUAUUCCCGUACUUGGUGUUACUGCGAAGGGGGGACGGAGAAGGCUAUGUUGGCCGGGCGACGGUUGUCCCGGUUUAAGCGUGUAGGUGUGUGUUCCAGGUAAAUCCGGUUCACUUUAACACUGAGGCGUGACGACGAGGCACUACGGUGCUGAAGCAACAAAUGCCCUGCUUCCAGGAAAAGCCUCUAAGCAUCAGGUAACAUCAAAUCGUACCCCAAACCGACACAGGUGGUCAGGUAGAGAAUACCAAGGCGCUUGAGAGAACUCGGGUGAAGGAACUAGGCAAAAUGGUGCCGUAACUUCGGGAGAAGGCACGCUGACACGUAGGUGAAGUGAUUUACUCAUGGAGCUGAAGUCAGUCGAAGAUACCAGCUGGCUGCAACUGUUUAUUAAAAACACAGCACUGUGCAAACACGAAAGUGGACGUAUACGGUGUGACGCCUGCCCGGUGCCGGAAGGUUAAUUGAUGGGGUCAGCGCAAGCGAAGCUCCUGAUCGAAGCCCCGGUAAACGGCGGCCGUAACUAUAACGGUCCUAAGGUAGCGAAAUUCCUUGUCGGGUAAGUUCCGACCUGCACGAAUGGCGUAAUGAUGGCCAGGCUGUCUCCACCCGAGACUCAGUGAAAUUGAACUCGCUGUGAAGAUGCAGUGUACCCGCGGCAAGACGGAAAGACCCCGUGAACCUUUACUAUAGCUUGACACUGAACAUUGAGCCUUGAUGUGUAGGAUAGGUGGGAGGCUUUGAAGUGUGGACGCCAGUCUGCAUGGAGCCGACCUUGAAAUACCACCCUUUAAUGUUUGAUGUUCUAACGUGGACCCGUUACCCGGGUUGCGGACAGUGUCUGGUGGGUAGUUUGACUGGGGCGGUCUCCUCCUAAAGAGUAACGGAGGAGCACGAAGGUUGGCUAAUCCUGGUCGGACAUCAGGAGGUUAGUGCAAUGGCAUAAGCCAGCUUGACUGCGAGCGUGACGGCGCGAGCAGGUGCGAAAGCAGGUCAUAGUGAUCCGGUGGUUCUGAAUGGAAGGGCCAUCGCUCAACGGAUAAAAGGUACUCCGGGGAUAACAGGCUGAUACCGCCCAAGAGUUCAUAUCGA
This 1234-nucleotide ribosomal RNA is filed under the name Salmonella enterica subsp. enterica serovar Mbandaka. RNAcentral's name for it is "partial 23S ribosomal RNA". It matches the Rfam family "Bacterial large subunit ribosomal RNA", at positions 1291 to 2508 of the family's 2925-position model. The record is from RNAcentral. Lineage: Bacteria; Pseudomonadati; Pseudomonadota; Gammaproteobacteria; Enterobacterales; Enterobacteriaceae.